RNAcentral lists this ribosomal RNA (253 nucleotides) under uncultured bacterium. Its description in RNAcentral is "partial 16S ribosomal RNA". It matches the Rfam family "Bacterial small subunit ribosomal RNA", at positions 524 to 776 of the family's 1533-position model. The record is from RNAcentral.
GACAGAGGGUGCAAACGUUGUUCGGAAUUAUUGGGCGUAAAGGGCUCGUAGGCGGUUUGUCGCGUCGGGAGUGAAAACCCAGGGCUUAACCCUGGGCUGGCUUUCGAUACGGGCAGACUAGAGGUAUGCAGGGGAGAACGGAAUUCCUGGUGUAGCGGUGAAAUGCGCAGAUAUCGGGAGGAACACCGGUGGCGAAGGCGGCGACCUGGGUCGAGACUGACGCUGAGGCGCGAAAGCGUGGGGAGCAAACAGG